Molecule: ribosomal RNA, 467 nt
Filed under: Aconurella sibirica
Lineage: Eukaryota; Metazoa; Arthropoda; Insecta; Hemiptera; Cicadellidae
Description: partial large subunit ribosomal RNA
Source: RNAcentral
AAGGUAUUUCCUGCCCUAUGGUUUUAUCUAAAUGGCUGCAGUAUUUUGACUGUGCAAAGGUAGCAUAGUAAUUAGUUUCUUAAUUAGGAACUUGUAUGAAUGGAUGAAUGAGAUAUAGUUUUUAUUUAUUUAAAAGUUAAAAUUUUAAUUUUAAGUAAAAAUGCUUAAGAUUUUUCUUGGGACGAUAAGACCCUAUAGAACUUAAUAUUUGCUUAAUAAAUUGUUUUUAAUUCUUUUAUAUGAUUUUUUAUUUAAAUGUUUUGCUGGGGUGGUUAAUAAAUUUUAACUUUAUUUUUUUAUUUCAUUGUUAGUUGUUUUUAUUGAUCCUAAUGGAUUAAAAGAAUAAGUUACCUUAGGGAUAACAGCGUAAUUUUAGUGGGGAGUUCAUAUCUAUACUGAUUUUGCGACCUCGAUGUUGAAUUAAGAAAAAACUAAGAAGCAGAAUUCUUAGAUUUAAGUCUGUUCGA